UGGUUAACAGGACAGAACGGGACGGCUCGCGCCCGGUUCCAAUUUGUUUCAAAUAAACUAACCUCUAAAUUCCGUUAACGGAGAAAGUAAACAGAUGUCGACACUCCGCGCUGAAACGACAGGAUAAAUACCACAGAGGGCUUCAUCCCUCCAGGGGUUCAUUUUCAUCCCUGUGAAGUUCACCCAUUUGUCGGGACAAAGUGUUGAAGCCGUCUACAGGAAAACCUCAGCAUGACUGAAAAAACAAUCCAACAACAACCGAAGUAAUGAGUGAGAAAAAUGUAGGGCUUACCUUACAAACGACUGGGAGUAUAUGAAACAAGGAGGCCUAAAGUAAAAGGAUACAAAUCGGAAAACCAACAAAAAAAAAACACCAGACUCUUCUCAUUGAGCUGAGAUUCCCUGCCCCAAGUCUCAUUGCUUCAACUGACUAUGUGUCACCAAGGGAAGUCAACACUCUAACCAAGAUGAACCCUUACAUCACUUCACACUUCAGGAGGGAUCUUUUCCCCCAUUUUCAUUUGUUGUAGACUUUUGUUUGCCCUGCUGUCAGCAGCCAGAUGAAAUGACUUUAACUCAGAUCAGUUAUAGCAGUAGUUUUUAUCUUUUGUUUUUUAGUUUUUUCUUUUCUCACCACAGGGCAGAGCUGAAGUUUGGAUUCUAUCCACUGUUCUAAACUGACUGCAUGUUAAUACUCUUGUGAAUGUUUCAGGGUUCAUUUGUAGAGAGAAUAGUUUGG
This is a long non-coding RNA of Labrus mixtus (cuckoo wrasse), 739 nucleotides long. RefSeq lists it as uncharacterized. The transcript is spliced from 3 exons. NCBI's taxonomy places the organism in Eukaryota, Metazoa, Chordata, Actinopteri, Labriformes, Labridae. The record is from RefSeq and is a predicted model, not a curated record.